This 535-nucleotide small RNA is filed under the name Pongo abelii (Sumatran orangutan). Its description in RNAcentral is "processed transcript". Lineage: Eukaryota; Metazoa; Chordata; Mammalia; Primates; Hominidae. The record is from RNAcentral.
GCGGCCGCCCUGCUGGGCUCCGGGCGCUGCAGCUCCCGGCGGGCGUCUGCAGCCCGCAGGUUCAGGACGACCCGGCUGCCAGGCUCAGCGCCUUGGGAGCUCCGCGCUGAAGGGGCCUUGCUCCGCACAGGCACGGCACGCACGCUUUUGGGGUGCCCAGCGGCUCUGUUUUCAAGUCACAGCCGGCCCGCAGGAGGCUUCGUGACGGAGUUAUCAGAGACAUUGAGAGGCAAAUUCGGAAAAAAGAAAACAUUCGUCUUUUGGGAGAACAGAUUAUUUUGACUGAGCAACUUGAAGCAGAAAGAGAGAAGAUGUUAUCGGCAAAAGGAUCUCAAAAAUCAUGACUUGAAUGUGAAAUAUCUGUUGGACAGACAACACGAGUUUGUGUGUGUGUUGAUGGAGAGUAGCUUAGUAGUAUCUUCAUCUUUUUUUUGAUCACUGUCCUUUUAAACUUGAUCAAAUAAAGGACAGUGGGUCAUAUAUUGUAAAUUACUGCUUUCAGGGUCCCUUAUAUCUGAAUAAAGGAGUGUGGGCA